CCUACGGGAGGCAGCAGUGAGGAAUAUUGGUCAAUGGGCGUAAGCCUGAACCAGCCAAGUCGCGUGAGGGAUGAAGGUUCUAUGGAUCGUAAACCUCUUUUAUAAGGGAAUAAAGUGCGGGACGUGUCCCGUUCUGUAUGUACCUUAUGAAUAAGGAUCGGCUUACUCCGUGCCAGCAGCCGCGGUAAUACGGAGGAACGGAGCGUUAUCCGGGAUUAUUGGGUUUAAAGGGUGCGUUGGCCGGCUUUUAAAUCAGCGGUGAAAGUCUGUGGCCCAAACAUAGAAUGGCCGUUGAAACUGGGAGGCUUGAGUGUGUUUGAGGCAGGCGGAAUGCGUGGUGUAGCGGUGAAAUGCAUAGAUAUCACGCAGAACCCCGAUUGCGAAGGCAGCCUGCCGGGCCAUGACUGACGCUGAUGCACGAAAGCGUGGGGAUCAAACAGGAUUAGAUACCCCUGUAGUC
Molecule: ribosomal RNA, 460 nt
Filed under: uncultured bacterium
Lineage: Bacteria
Description: partial 16S ribosomal RNA
Rfam family: Bacterial small subunit ribosomal RNA
Source: RNAcentral